This 113-nucleotide ribosomal RNA is filed under the name Acanthosepion pharaonis. Lineage: Eukaryota; Metazoa; Mollusca; Cephalopoda; Sepiida; Sepiidae. The record is from RNAcentral.
UACGGUCAAGUCACGCUGAAACACCGGUUCUCGUUCGGUCACCGAAGUUAAGCAUCGUAGAGCCAGGUCAGUACUUAGAUGGGGGACCGCUUGGGAACACCUGGUACUGUAAG